AGUGAACGCUGGCGGUAGGCCUAACACAUGCAAGUCGAACGGCAGCACAGUAAGAGCUUGCUCUUACGGGUGGCGAGUGGCGGACGGGUGAGGAAUACAGCGGAAUCUACUUUUUCGUGGGGGAUAACGUAGGGAAACUUACGCUAAUACCGCAUACGACCUACGGGUGAAAGCAGGGGAUCUUCGGACCUUGCGCGAUUGAAUGAGCCGAUGUCGGAUUAGCUAUUUGGCGGGGUAAAGGCCCACCAAGGCGACGAUCCGUAGCUGGUCUGAGAGGAUGAACAGCCACACUGGAACUGAGACACGGUCCAGACUCCUACGGGAGGCAGCAGUGGGGAAUAUUGGACAAUGGGCGCAAGCCUGAUACAGCCAUACCGCGUGGGUGAAGAAGGCCUUCGGGUUGUAAAGCCCUUUUGUUGGGAAAGAAAAGCAGCAGGUUAAUACCCCGCUGUUCUGACGGUACCCAAAGAAUAAGCACCGGCUAACUUCGUG
Molecule: ribosomal RNA, 492 nt
Filed under: uncultured bacterium
Lineage: Bacteria
Description: partial 16S ribosomal RNA
Rfam family: Bacterial small subunit ribosomal RNA
Source: RNAcentral